UCUUAAGGUAAAGAAUCUGCCUGCAAUGCAGGAGACCCAGGUUCCAUCCCUGG
Molecule: transfer RNA, 53 nt
Filed under: Bos taurus (domestic cattle)
Lineage: Eukaryota; Metazoa; Chordata; Mammalia; Artiodactyla; Bovidae
Also listed under: 5 other names
Rfam family: tRNA
About the family: Transfer RNA (tRNA) molecules are approximately 80 nucleotides in length.
Source: Rfam by way of RNAcentral